RNAcentral lists this ribosomal RNA (316 nucleotides) under uncultured eukaryote. Its description in RNAcentral is "partial 18S ribosomal RNA". It matches the Rfam family "Eukaryotic small subunit ribosomal RNA", at positions 1470 to 1796 of the family's 1831-position model. The record is from RNAcentral.
CCCUUAGAUGUUCUGGGCCGCACGCGCGCUACACUGACUGGUGCAACAAGUGUCGCUCCUUGGCCGAUAGGCCUGGGCAAUCUUUGAACGCCAGUCGUGAUGGGGAUAGAUUCUUGCAAUUUUUGAUCUUCAACGAGGAAUUCCUAGUAAACGCGAGUCAUCAACUCGCAUUGAUUACGUCCCUGCCCUUUGUACACACCGCCCGUCGCACCUACCGAUUGAAUGGUCCGGUGAAGCCUCCGGAUUGCACAGGCCCCGUGUCUGGCGCGAGAAGUUGGCUAAACCUUACCAUUUAGAGGAAGGUGAAGUCGUAACA